Molecule: long non-coding RNA, 904 nt
Organism: Haliotis rufescens (red abalone)
Lineage: Eukaryota; Metazoa; Mollusca; Gastropoda; Lepetellida; Haliotidae
Exons: 2
Source: RefSeq, a predicted model, not a curated record
AAUUACUGGAUUUGGCGUUGGACCCGUUUGUGUGUUUUGUGCCGUGUAUGUUUACUUUGUGUGUUCUCGAUAUACCUGAACGCUUUGGGAUAAUAUUCCAUACAAACGCGAUUUCUGUAUUAAUAAACAGACAAACAGAUCCCAAUGGAAGCAAGCGUUUCAGAAUCAAUUCCAACAUGACAGCUUCAGUAGAACUAACUUGUGUCGCAUGGAUUAUCAACGACAAUUUUCAGAAGCGGAUCAAGGAUUUUGGAAAAGGUGCACAUAAUACCAAAGACAUGGCCGAUUGCCCAGUUGACAUGUAAAGUGUCUGAUACAAGGGGGUGUUCACCCUCCCCACCCCCCAACCCAAAAGCACCCUCUGGGUCCGUCAGUUAAUUGAACAGCUUCAUAAGCUUAAAUAACAACGAACCAGGAUGUGGUUAAGCCAUGUUCGAUGUAAUCACUAACUGAUAAUAAUUGUAGCCCUGAUACAUGCAAAAUCACAAGACUUAGAGACCUACAAAGGAAGGUAUACACUUUCAAGCACAUGUACCGUGACAACCGCAGAAUUAUGUUCUACCAGCUUCUGAAACUAUAAGGAUACUCCGUUCUUUACCCCGAACGUGCAUGCAUUUUUUGUAUCUUCUUUGAUCACAAAUAUGACGUAGGUGUCAGUCUGAUAAUGCCUGUGACAUCACCUUUGACACAAAGACACUGUAGGUUUUCCAUAUGGCCGCAAGUACUGAGUCAUGUGAUAUAACGCAGAGAUGCAGAGGAGGCGGCUGAAAGGGUAGUCAAACAACUAGUGCCAUUGAACAGAUGCUAGACAUGUCAUGCAUUAUCAAUUUCGUCCUGUAAUUCAAUAUGAAUAUGCUACUUUGCUCGUGUUAUUCGUCAGAAAGAGAAUAAAAAAAAGCAUAAA